RNAcentral lists this transfer RNA (66 nucleotides) under Diapriidae sp. ZJUH_2016010. Its description in RNAcentral is "tRNA-Ser". The record is from RNAcentral. Lineage: Eukaryota; Metazoa; Arthropoda; Insecta; Hymenoptera; Diapriidae.
GUUAAUUUAAAUUAUAAUAUUUAUUUUGAAAAUAAAUAGUGAUUUUAAUAAAUAAAUCAGUUAACU